Molecule: ribosomal RNA, 293 nt
Filed under: uncultured bacterium
Lineage: Bacteria
Description: partial 16S ribosomal RNA
Rfam family: Archaeal small subunit ribosomal RNA
Source: RNAcentral
GUGCUAGCCGCCGCGGUAAUACCGGCGGCCCGAGUGGUGGCCGCUAUUAUUGGGCCUAAAGCGUCCGUAGCCGGGCCCGUAAGUCCCUGGCGAAAUCCCACGGCUCAACCGUGGGGCUUGCUGGGGAUACUGCGGGCCUUGGGACCGGGAGAGGCCGGGGGUACCCCUGGGGUAGGGGUGAAAUCCUAUAAUCCCAGGGGGACCGCCAGUGGCGAAGGCGCCCGGCUGGAACGGGUCCGACGGUGAGGGACGAAGGCCAGGGGAGCGAACCGGAUUAGAAACCCUGGUAGUCC